Molecule: long non-coding RNA, 1419 nt
Organism: Asparagus officinalis (garden asparagus)
Lineage: Eukaryota; Viridiplantae; Streptophyta; Magnoliopsida; Asparagales; Asparagaceae
Exons: 6
Source: RefSeq, a predicted model, not a curated record
AAAAAAACAAUUUUAAUUUUGUUUCCUAUGACCGUACCCCUCAUCUUUCACCCGAUCAAAAUCCCGUCGAAGAAACCUAGGGCUUUUUCUCGUUUCCCACUUCCACUGCCUCCUCUCCUCGACGGAGGAAAACCGCAGCCUCCUCUCCUCGGCUCCCCACUUCCGCCGCCUCUCCUUCUCGCCGACCUUUUCACCGUCGUUUCCCUCCCCUCGUCGGUUCCUCACUUUCGCCGCCUCUCCUUCACUUCCCCUCGUCCGUCAGCCCUUUGUUCGUCGACUUCAAGGCCAUCCCUCUCUAGCAUCCAGUGAUUGGCUUCUUCAGUUGCAGAAAUAGUUCAAAUUGAUUGGUGCGGGCGCUUCGGUUCUCGAUCUUGGAUGCGCUCCCGGUGCUUGGCUUCAGAUUUGUGGGGGUAAAUUUGCAAAUAUGGUUGGUUUCGGGUUAUAUAGUUAAUUUUCUUCCGUAGUGCAUGUUUAGGUGGCUUGUCAGAGUUUAGGGCCACCGAAGAAGGGUGGGGCUGUUAUCGGUGUUGAUAUAAAGAGCAGAAUGUUAAGGUUCCAUCCCAUCACUGUGACUCUAGAGUACGAACAGUUUGUGCUGAUGUUAUGGAGCUAAUGAAGAGCCAGGCUAGAAAACUGUCUCCUCAGGUGUGAUGGUUCAAUCCAAGCACCCAGCCAACCAGCAUGGUCAUUAACUUCUCUGAGUAGCCAACCUUUUUGCACAAUGUCAUCAAGUUGAAAACAAUACUCUCACUGAUGGUAGAAAAGAUGGGGGUGGGGGGGGAUCUCUUAUAGUUGUCAAUUUAUUUAUACAGAUAAUAUACUUUCCUCUUCAUUCAGGUAACUAACUAUUGCUUCAUAUAACUUGGAAUUGUUUUAUGGUGCAUGACUAAUGUUCCUUAACCUUUCUAGUCUGUCAUGCAAUUUGUUCAUAUAACUUGGAACUGUUUUAUGGUAUGUGCUUAUAAUUCUUGUCCUUUUUAAUUGAUAUAAUCUAUUUUUGGGUAAUUUGAUAUUGUCUGCUUUUGUAGAUGAGAAUGGAAAUGAACACAUGGGGGUGGUUGCAUCAAUGUGGCCAAUAUAUGGUCUUUGCCAUUAAACAAGAGAAUUGAGGUAGAAUUUAACAACUUGAUACGAUUAAUUAAUAGCUCGGGCGCCUUAUUAUCAUGAUAUUGUUCUGGUGUUGCUGCAAAACAUAAUCUUUGUCCGCUCGGAUUUAAUGAUUGGAGGCUUGUGCCUAAAAGAUUGAGAGCAGAAGCUGUUGGAAUAGUUUGAGUAUCGAUCUAUAACUUUCUAUCUCAGAGCAAAUUUCUGCUUCCAAAGGGGAGGGAAAUGAAUGGACUAAUACUUUCAAUGAUCGGCAAAGCAUUGAAUAAUCAGAAAAGGAUUGGAAUCAUGAGAAGAAGCAUUAGAACUGAACCC